Molecule: transfer RNA, 76 nt
Filed under: Cordylochernes scorpioides
Lineage: Eukaryota; Metazoa; Arthropoda; Arachnida; Pseudoscorpiones; Chernetidae
Description: tRNA-Thr
Source: RNAcentral
AGUGUCAAGGGAUAGGAUUCGAACCCACGACCUUCCGCUUACCGGGCAGAUGCCAUGACCACUAAGCCACAUGACC